AAUAUGAGCACUAACACUCACUCUCACUACCAGACUGGCAUCGUAGCAUCUCAUAUUUCUGCAUGACCAUUUUGAAAGACUGAAACUAUGAUCUUAAACUCAAAGUGUAUAUAUUAUUAUUAUUUCAUGUCUGUCUUUAUUCACUGCAAUUGAGUAUACCAUUAACACAUUGUCCACCUUUUAAUGUCUUCCUUCCUUCCUUCCUCUCCAGCCAAUCUAUUGCACUGCCACCUGAUGCUUACAAUAGAGAGAGAGUGACUGACAGAUCAAGUGAUAUUGAAGAUGAUGACUCAUUUAGUGAUAAAUUCAAAAGAGUGUUUGCCAAGACCUAUAAAUGGUCACCAACUCGAGACACUGAAGUGAG
Molecule: long non-coding RNA, 364 nt
Organism: Amphimedon queenslandica
Lineage: Eukaryota; Metazoa; Porifera; Demospongiae; Haplosclerida; Niphatidae
Exons: 2
Source: RefSeq, a predicted model, not a curated record